RNAcentral lists this ribosomal RNA (1296 nucleotides) under Paracercion v-nigrum. Its description in RNAcentral is "16S ribosomal RNA". The stretch from base 606 to 1296 matches the Rfam family "Archaeal large subunit ribosomal RNA", at positions 1423 to 2800 of the family's 2987-position model. The record is from RNAcentral. Lineage: Eukaryota; Metazoa; Arthropoda; Insecta; Odonata; Coenagrionidae.
UUAUUUAGUAUUUUACUUGCCUUUUUUGUUUAUCUUAUUGUUGGAGAAGUAAUUUUUUAUUAAGUAAUAUUUUUUGAAAGAUACUUUUUAGUAAUAGUUUAUUAGUACUGUAAAGGAAUAUUUUAAAUAAAUUGAAAAAUUUUAUUUUUAUAAGUAUAUUUUAUUUAUAUUACCUUUUGUAUCAGGGUUGAUCUAAUUUUUAUAAUAUAUUUUGCCUUCUCGAUUUUAUAAGAGCUAAUAAUUUAUUUUAUUUUAUGUGUUAAAAUAAUUAAUAAUAUUUAUUAGGGGGGAAAUCUCAUUCGUUUAUAAGGGUAUCUAGUUUUUUAAGAAUUAAAUUUAAUUUAAUCCUGAAACUUACUUUUUUCUUUUUUAUUUAUUUAUUUUUUAGGUUAUAACUAGUGGGGGAUAAGCUCUGCUUUUUUACUAUAAAAUUUUAUUUUGAUAAUUUUAGUAGGCCUAAAAUCAACCAUCUUUAAAUUACGUUAUAGUUUAUUUUAUUUUUAUUUGAUUUUCUUCUUUUUAGUUUUUUAUUAAAAUAAUUUAUUUAACUUUAUUAUAAUUGUAAUAAUGAUUAAAUUAGUAUAAAUUUUUGUUUGUUAUUUAUUUUUCUUUAAUUAUAAUUAAGGAACUCGGCAAAUCUAAUUUUCGCCUGUUUAUCAAAAACAUGUCCUCAUGUUUUUAUUUGAGGUUUGGCCUGCCCGGUGAUUUUAAUUUAACGGCCGCGGUAUAUUGACCGUGCAAAGGUAGCAUAAUCAUUAGUCUUUUAAUAGGAGGCUGGAAUGAAAGGUUUAACGAAAAAUUAGCUGUCUCAAUUAUAAAUUUGAAUUUAACUUUUAAGUUAAAAGGCUUAAAUUUUUUUGUAGGACGAGAAGACCCUAUAGAGCUUUACAUUUAAUAUUUUGUUAUAUUGAUUUAGAUUAAUAUUUUUAAUUAACUUUAAAAAAUGUUUUGUUGGGGUGACAAGAAAUAUAUAUUUAACUUUUAUUAUUAUAUUUUCAUUAAUUUAUGAUUAUUGGAUCCAAAAUUUUUGAUCAUUAGAAUAAGUUACCUUAGGGAUAACAGCGUAAUCUUCCCUCAGAGUUCAAAUUUACGGGAAGGGUUGCGACCUCGAUGUUGGAUUAAGAUAACAGUUGGGUGCAGUAGCUCAAUUUGUAGGUCUGUUCGACCUUUAAAUUCUUACAUGAUCUGAGUUCAGACCGGUUUAAGCCAGGUCGGUUUCUAUCCUCAAAUUUAUUUUAGUUUUUAGUACGAAAGGACCAUUACUAUGAAAUAAUUUUUAUUAUUUGAUUUUCAUUA